RNAcentral lists this ribosomal RNA (229 nucleotides) under uncultured bacterium. Its description in RNAcentral is "partial 16S ribosomal RNA". It matches the Rfam family "Bacterial small subunit ribosomal RNA", at positions 568 to 796 of the family's 1533-position model. The record is from RNAcentral.
UACGUAGGCGGAAAAUUAAGUCAGUAGUGAAAUCCUGCAGCUUAACUGUAGAACUGUUAUUGAUACUGGUUUUCUUGAAUGUAGUUGAGGUAGGCGGAAUGUGUAAUGUAGCGGUGAAAUGCUUAGAUAUUACACAGAACACCGAUUGCGAAGGCAGCUUACUAAACUAUGAUUGACGCUGAGGCACGAAAGCGUGGGGAGCGAACAGGAUUAGAUACCCUGGUAGUCC